This is a non-coding RNA of Abortiporus biennis, 117 nucleotides long. The record is from the annotation of a GenBank genome assembly. Lineage: Eukaryota; Fungi; Basidiomycota; Agaricomycetes; Polyporales; Podoscyphaceae.
GGUGCUAUAGUGUAGUGGUUAUCACUCGGGAUUUUGAAGCGUGGAUAGAUAUGUCUAAGUUUAACCACCGCACUUUAGCAGCUUCCCGAAACCCAGGUUCGAACCCUGGUAGCACCU